AUUCCAGAGGUGAUAUAGCUUAGGCUAUAUCACUCCGGCAGCAAGCGAAGGUGUCAUUGACACCCGUGGUAUAGUCCCCCCGGCUAUACCACGAUAUUUUUUU
This 103-nucleotide non-coding RNA is filed under the name Vibrio nigripulchritudo. RNAcentral describes it as "Translational regulator of tfoXVC". It matches the Rfam family "Translational regulator of tfoXVC". The record is from Rfam by way of RNAcentral. Lineage: Bacteria; Pseudomonadati; Pseudomonadota; Gammaproteobacteria; Vibrionales; Vibrionaceae.